Molecule: long non-coding RNA, 1243 nt
Filed under: Ursus maritimus (polar bear)
Lineage: Eukaryota; Metazoa; Chordata; Mammalia; Carnivora; Ursidae
Description: lncRNA (ENSUMAG00000010293.1)
Source: RNAcentral
GGUUAAUUCCGGUUAUGCCUGUUUGGCAAUACUACAAAAGUGAUGCUGUGUCCUCCGAAGUGUCUGGAGGCAAAUGAUGGCGACUUGUUAACCAUGGUCACGGUUUUCCGACAACGGGGACGUCCAGACCUAUGGCAACUACUCGGCCAGUGCCAGAUCCAGCCACAGGGGACCCAUCAGGCCCACGGAAGACUACCUCAGGGCUACCUGAGAAGUACCAAAGGCUCCCUUGGAAAACUAUAGGGGGGCAGGAAAUAUAAAACUAAUUUCUACAGGGUAGGAUCUUAUUGAUAGAAAAAAAGAAGCACGUAUUUUCCAUUUCCAGCAAGUGUGUCAACCAGGAGAGAAAGUCUGGGCGCAAGCGAGAGCGGUCCGCCACAGCCCAGGUGGGCCCUUUGGGAGGGAGGAAUGUGCCUCUGAGGGCGAGGACCACUUGCUGUAUGCCUAGUGUAUUCGUUUCCUAUUUCUGCUGUUGCAAAUUUGGUGACUUAAAGCAACACAGAUCUAUUCUCUCAUAGUUCUGUCAGUGUUUAUACUGGUUGGUCCCACUCAGAUCAUCAAGGAUAAUCUCCCCGUCUCAGGUCCUUCACCUUGAUUAUCCCUGCAAAGUCCCCUUUACCGUGCAAGAUAACGCAGUCGCAGGUUUUAGGGAUGAGGCUGUGGGCCUCUUCGGGGAGCCAUUGGUUAGCCUACCACACUCAGAUACAGGGCAGACCAUUUAUGCAGAAGGCAAGUCCACCAGGUCCUAGCUCCCCCGUGAGACCUGUCCUGUCCAGAUUGGCGUGAAUUAUCUUGCUCUUUGGACGUGAGUCUUUGAACUGUGCGCCUUUGUGCCAGAUGACUAAUUCUGGUCCAAUCAUCUCUGUCCAGGAUGGCAAGGAUCAAUGGUACAGAACUCAUGGGAUUAAACCCUAACUCGGGUUGCUUUCUUCAGGGAGAAGCGGAGCAGGAACACUUAGAGAAGGGGCUUGGGGCAUAGAGUCAAGCAAAGUGGCCAAGAGUAAGAGGUGUAGAGGCGACCUCAUGGGUUCUAGUCCCAAGCCUGCUGCAUACUAGCUGUGGAACCUUGAAUAACUGUCUUAACCAUCUGGCCUGUUUUUACCUGGGGCAAAUAGAGCUUGUAGUAUCACCAUCAUAUGGUUGUCAUGAGAACGAAAUAGAAGGUUGUUCAUGUAAAAGGGUUAAUUAGCAAAGGGCCUGACACAGGGUAAGGGCUCAAGGAAUAUUGCCAUUCUUAUUAUUU